GGAAAGGAGGUUAAAGAGGAACAAAAUCGUCUGAAGGGGUUUACGGCCGGGAGAGACGCCGAGCGCUGCGGGAAGCCCUCAGACAGCCGGGAUGCAGGAGAGAUGGCAGCCCUCAAACUCCACACGGCCGCUGAAAGCGGGAACGUGCCGAGGCCCGAGUCCAGCGGCCACACACUGCUCCACACGCAACUCCAGAAGUUCACCGUUUCUGCAGACAAGGUGCCUAUUUAUUACUU
RNAcentral lists this long non-coding RNA (236 nucleotides) under Sinocyclocheilus grahami. RNAcentral's name for it is "lncRNA (ENSSGRG00000023745.1)". Lineage: Eukaryota; Metazoa; Chordata; Actinopteri; Cypriniformes; Cyprinidae. The record is from RNAcentral.